GGACCCGCACAAGCGGUGGAGCAUGUGGUUUAAUUCGAAGCAACGCGAAGAACCUUACCAAAUCUUGACAUCCUUUGAAAACUCUAGAGAUAGAGCCUUCCCCUUCGGGGGACAAAGUGACAGGUGGUGCAUGGUUGUCGUCAGCUCGUGUCGUGAGAUGUUGGGUUAAGUCCCGCAACGAGCGCAACCCUUAAGCUUAGUUGCCAUCAUUAAGUUGGGCACUCUAACGAGACUGCCGGUGAUAAACCGGAGGAAGGUGGGG
This 262-nucleotide ribosomal RNA is filed under the name uncultured prokaryote. RNAcentral describes it as "partial 16S ribosomal RNA". It matches the Rfam family "Bacterial small subunit ribosomal RNA", at positions 917 to 1178 of the family's 1533-position model. The record is from RNAcentral.